GGGGGGCGGGCGGAAGUGCCGUGGUUGUACCGCGGCGCUGGGGGUUCCUCCCGGCGAGACUGGCGGGGCUGCGGCGGCUAGGAGAGUGGUGCGUAGGUGUUUCUGGGGGGGUCGUGGGCAGGAUGCAGGGCUCAGUAAAGUUUAGUGUCAGAACUUUGUUUGCGCUACCCCUAAUAUUUCCGUAGAGUAAUAGUUGUAUUAACUACUUUUCUUUUUUCUUCUGUCCUCCAUUUGUUUUGGGGGAGGGUGCGGAGGAAUAAGCCUGUGUCUAAGAUUGGCGCCUCUCUUCUCUAGCUGUUAACUCUGAGCAUUCCCUUUUGUAUAGGGUAUCGUGUUAAUUUUUACAUGCACCCAGAGCAGUCUGCCUUUUGGAAGAUACAUGGGAGACCCUACCGAAAGUAAUUACUUUUUUUUUACAGAGUGAAUAAAUUUGCGUGUCAUAAAGGCUGUAUAAUUGCUUUCGUGUCUAGAGUUCUAGAGUCUUUCGUAUUUCUCUUAUUGCAAUGAUUAACUUCAUCAAAUAAUGAGGAAUAUAAACAUAAGGUGCAUGGCUAUCAAGGAAACAGGGAAAGCAAAGAGAACAUGUAUCCUGCUUCCCUGUUGAGUAGAUAUUUACUCAGGUGUACCUUUCUUUUUUAUAUCUUUUUUAUAUCUUAUGAAUUGAAAAUAAAUCAUGGGACCCCCAAAUCACUAAGCUAAAGGGAAAAGUCAUACUGGGAACUGCUUAGGGAAUCCUGCCUCCCAUUCUAUUCAAAGUCACCCCUCUGCUCACUGAGAUAAAUGCAUGUCUGAUUGCCUCAUUUGGAGAGGCUCAUAAGAGAAUGCAACUGUCUGUUAUCUACCUAUGACUUGGAACUUCCUCCCCACUUGGAGUUGCCCCGCUUUUCCAGAUCAGACCAAUGUUUAUCUUACAUAUAUUGAUUGCUGCCCCAUGUCUCCCUAAAAUGUGUAAAACCAAGCUGUGCCCCAGCCACCUUGGGCGCAUGUUGUCAGGAUCUGUGCCAUGUCAUGGAUGCAAGUUCUUAACUUUGGCUAAAUAAACUUUCUGAGUUGAUUGUGA
Long non-coding RNA from Homo sapiens (human), 1060 nucleotides. Ensembl annotates it as UFL1 antisense RNA 1. Its record names the gene UFL1-AS1. The record is from Ensembl. Lineage: Eukaryota; Metazoa; Chordata; Mammalia; Primates; Hominidae.